Molecule: transfer RNA, 77 nt
Filed under: Aquimonas voraii
Lineage: Bacteria; Pseudomonadati; Pseudomonadota; Gammaproteobacteria; Lysobacterales; Lysobacteraceae
Also listed under: 3 other names
Description: tRNA_Arg_TCT
Rfam family: tRNA
About the family: Transfer RNA (tRNA) molecules are approximately 80 nucleotides in length. Their secondary structure includes four short double-helical elements and three loops (D, anti-codon, and T loops). Further hydrogen bonds mediate the characteristic L-shaped molecular structure. tRNAs have two regions of fundamental functional importance: the anti-codon, which is responsible for specific mRNA codon recognition, and the 3' end, to which the tRNAs corresponding amino acid is attached (by aminoacyl-tRNA synthetases). tRNAs cope with the degeneracy of the genetic code in two manners: having more than one tRNA (with a specific anti-codon) for a particular amino acid; and 'wobble' base-pairing, i.e. permitting non-standard base-pairing at the 3rd anti-codon position.
Source: RNAcentral
GCGCCUGUAGCUCAAUCGGAUAGAGCACCGGCCUUCUAAGCCGGUGGUUGCAGGUUCGAUUCCUGCCAGGCGCGCCA